AGUGUAUAUAUAGUUGCCUAUUCUAUAGCCUGAAGUUACGCCUAAUUGAAGGCAUUGUACUCUGUAUAUAUUUGACAGUUUUCAAUGAUAAAGUUUGAGGAAUUAUUUCUAUUAUGGUAUCAGAUUUUUAGGACAUUCUCACGAUCCUUCUUCUCUUCCGCAAGCGCCCUAACAGUCCAUCUCUUCUGCUUUCUUUCUUCUUCUUUUCUUCUUCAUCUUCUCAAGACAAUUUCUGAUCAAUUGAAGAAUGUAGGUGCUCCGGUAUUGGAAAGUCGUCUUGUGAUUAGACCUGUUCAAUGGAUUAGGGGCCCAUUUAAAGCCCUGAUCCAGCCCUUUUAUAAAAGGGUUUUACCCAUCCAAUAUUUAAAUGGGGCCACUUUUAAAGGAUUAUUAAAUAAUGGACUUUUAAAGGGUUGGGUCUAAGUUAAAAACGGCUGAAAUUGGGUAAAUCUUAUGAGGCUUUUUUUAUCCUAAUUUUUUCAGUUUCUAAAACUUCCUAACAUCAAAUUAUGAUACUUUAAAAAUAAAAAUUCCCAAUUUCCCCCAAAUUAUGAAGCAAAAAAAAAAAAUUAUUCGAGCAGACUGAACUUCUACCAUUUGCCUCCGGGAAAAAUCGCCAGCAAAGUUUUGAAAAUCUUUCGAAUUCUCUCUCCUAAAUCAAUGUUUUCUUCAACUCCUUGAUUCUCUGGAUUAGUAGCAACAGGAAUUCCGUUCACUGACGCCGCCGCUGCAUUGACGGGAAGAAAUCGCCGAUGCCGGAGGAAAUUCCGGGAAGGAGGAGGAAGGCAAAGGGUUGGGCAUGGCGUAGAGAGGAGAGAGAACAUUCGAGGGUUUGGAAGAGGUUUGCUACGGCGGAGAGGAAGAGGCGGGGUGAGUUUGAAGGUGAAGGUAGAUAGCGCCAUUGAUGAUGAAGAGGUAUGAAUUUGUGUAGUUAUUACUUCCACCGUGUAAAAAUGCAAGUCUACCGUUGAUAUUACGCUUUGUUAAGAGGACACACACCAGAAAUAUCUUGGAUUUUUUUUUUUUUUUUUUGGGGUUAAUUUAUCCAUUCUUUUUUUGGUUUUAUAUUUCAAAAAAUUGUCAUGAAUAUUAUAACUUUUCAGCUAUCUUCUAGAAAUACAACAACUUUUAAAUUAUUUCGAAAUUAAACCACUUUUGACACUAAUCUUUUGGGGAAUAAUUUAGCAGCACAACUUAAUUAUAAUCUAUGCAGAGCAGCUUCGAGUUUCAUAAGUUUUAAGUGUCUAAUUUAUGUCAAGAACAUUGCUUAGUUACUUGAUUGUAACAAAUUUAUGUCAAGAACAUUGCUCAGUUCUCUACUUUUAACUUGUUGGCUAAGGCCCUUUGUAAGGCCCCUUAAAAGCCCUUUAUAAUUCUCUUAUAUUGUUUUUACUUCAUGGUUGUUGUAGUUUGUUUAUACAUUUUGAAUGGGCCAGGCCGGGCUGGGCUUAAUAGCCCAUGGACACGCUCGACCCAUUUUUUAUUAGGCUUGACCUAGUCUGGCCCGGCCAUUCAUAUAAAGCCCGGCCCAGCCCUGACCCGGCCCAUUGAAUAGGUCUAUUUGUGAUUCAACUUGUUUCCGGCCUUACUCGAGCCUAUAGGGGUGUGGGAACAUUGAUCCGGCAGAGUGAUCCUUUGCCACCAUUUUAUCAGGCUCGUUCAAUGCUCAUACUUGAGGAAGCUGGAUUGGCAAAGGAGGCUGCCACUGGUUCGGAGUCCGCUAUGGUAGCCACCUCGAAUUCAGAAUUUGAUGAUGAGUUUUCUCACUCUGCUCACUCGGAUCAAUCACAAGGCUGUGUGAAAAAUUCCGGCAACCGGAAGAAUAAUAACGACAAGAAAUCCAGUGGGGGUCGUCGGGCUCCGUGGCCAGAAGUAGGGCCGUGGUAAUGGCGGCCAAAAACAGCAGCAGGCAGGACAGCAGUACGGGCAACAGUGGGGAGAUUCAACUCCUUGAGGUAAUUUCCCACCUUGGGCUUGGAUGUCUCCUUGAGCUAUUCCACCUUGCCCUUAUCCAACCCAAGGAUGGGCUCGUGGUGCAGCAACCCCUAAACAGCAACAACAAGUUGGAAUUCUUGGGCCACGUCCUCAACAAGCAUUUUUGGCGAAUCCGAUCCAAAUCAGUCCGCUUCCUAGUGUCCUACAAAUAUCGAAGCGGCAAUGCAUACCAUGUCCCUCAAUCCACCCGAUCCCUCAUGGUAUAUGGACACCGGAGCUACGUCUCAUAUGACAUCAUCAAAUGGAUUUUUAGACGGGGAUGCCAAUAAUGAGGUGUGAUAGCCGGGGUGACCUUUAUCCUCUUACUACUUCUCUCAACAGUCAAGCUCUCCACUCUACCUUUGCAGCCAUCUCUCCUACACUUUAGCAUGAUCGUUUGGGUCAUCCGGAUGCUUCUAUCUUAGAUGCUCUUAGGCUUAAUAAAAGCAUUGAUUGUAAUCGUUCUUCUAGUUCUAGUAUUUGUCAAUCUUGUGUUUUCGGAAAACAUAUUAAGUUGCCGUUUGUUUCUUCUAGUUCUAGUACUUGUAUGCCAUUUGAUAUUAUUCAUAGUGACCUUUGGACAUCACCUAUUUUGAGUUGUAUGGGACAUCGAUAUUAUGUUUUGUUA
Long non-coding RNA from Chenopodium quinoa (quinoa), 2602 nucleotides. RefSeq lists it as uncharacterized. NCBI's taxonomy places the organism in Eukaryota, Viridiplantae, Streptophyta, Magnoliopsida, Caryophyllales, Amaranthaceae. The record is from RefSeq and is a predicted model, not a curated record. The transcript has 2 exons.